RNAcentral lists this transfer RNA (71 nucleotides) under Stegodyphus mimosarum. It matches the Rfam family "tRNA". Rfam says of the family: Transfer RNA (tRNA) molecules are approximately 80 nucleotides in length. Their secondary structure includes four short double-helical elements and three loops (D, anti-codon, and T loops). The record is from Rfam by way of RNAcentral. Lineage: Eukaryota; Metazoa; Arthropoda; Arachnida; Araneae; Eresidae.
GCCUUCGUGGUGUAAUGGUAGCACACUCGGCGCGUAUUCAAGAAGUCCAGGUUCGAGUCCCGGCGAAGGUA